GACGAACGCUGGCGGCGUGCUUAACACAUGCAAGUCGAGCGGAGCGGCGAACGGGGGAGUAACGCGUGAGUAACUGCCCCCCUCUCUGGGAUAACAGUUGGAAACGGCUUCUAAUACCGGAUAGUGGGGCCUGACUCGCGUCCUAUCAGCUUGUUGGUGGGGUAGUUGCCUACCAAGGCGACGACGGGUAGCCGGCCUGAGAGGGCGACCGGCCACAGUGGGCUGAGAUCAGUUCCAAAGCCCUACGGGAGGCAGCAGUGGGGCAUUUUGCACAAUGGGGGAAACCCUGAUGCAGCAACGCCGCGUUCGGGAUGAAGGCCUUCGGGGUGUAAACCGCUUUCAGCCAUGACGCGGUAGUGGCAGAAGAAGCACCGGCUAACUACGUGCCAGCAGCCGCGGUAAUUC
RNAcentral lists this ribosomal RNA (405 nucleotides) under uncultured bacterium. RNAcentral describes it as "partial 16S ribosomal RNA". It matches the Rfam family "Bacterial small subunit ribosomal RNA", at positions 28 to 526 of the family's 1533-position model. The record is from RNAcentral.